GCUAGCGGCGGCUUAACACAUGCAAGUCGAGGGGUAACGAGAAAGCUUGCUUUCAGACGACGACCGGCGCACGGGUGAGUAACGCGUAUGCAACCUACCAAUAACUUGGGGAUAGCCCGGAGAAAUUCGGAUUAAUACCCAAUAAUAUUUUAAGAAGGCAUCUUCUUAAUCUUAAAGUUCCGACGGUUAUUGAUGGGCAUGCGUAGCAUUAGCUUGAUGGUGAGGUAACGGCUCACCAUAUUGGCGAUGAUGCUUAGGGGGUCUUAAAGGAUGGUCCCCCACACUGGUACUGAGACACGGACCAGACUCCUACGGGAGGCAGCAGUGAGGAAUAUUGGUCAAUGGAGGCAACUCUGAACCAGCCAUGCCGCGUGCAGGAUGACGGUCCUAUGGAUUGUAAACUGCUUUUGUACGGGAAGAAACCUGAUUACGUGUAAUCAGCUGACGGUACCGUAAGAAUAAGGAUCGGCUAACUCCGUGCCAGCAGCCGCGGUAAUACGGAGGAUCCAAGCGUUAUCCGGAUUUAUUAGGCUUAAAGGGUGCGCAGGCGGAAAAAUAAGUCAGUGGUGAAAUCCUACAACUCAACUGUAGAACUGCCAUUGAUACUGUUUUUCUUGAGUAUAGUUGAAGUAGGCGGAAUGUGUAGUGUAGCGGUGAAAUGCAUAGAGAUUACACAGAACACCAAUUGCGAAGGCAGCUUACUAAACUAUUACUGACGCUCAUGCACGAAAGCGUGGGGAGCGACAGGAUUAGAUAA
This 757-nucleotide ribosomal RNA is filed under the name uncultured bacterium. RNAcentral's name for it is "bacterial SSU rRNA". It matches the Rfam family "Bacterial small subunit ribosomal RNA", at positions 35 to 785 of the family's 1533-position model. The record is from RNAcentral.